UACGUAGGGGGCAAGCGUUGUCCGGAUUUAUUGGGCGUAAAGAGCGUGUAGGCGGCCAGACAGGUCCGUUGUGAAAACUCGAGGCUCAACCUCGAGACGCCGAUGGAAACCGUCUGGCUAGAGUCCGGAAGAGGAGAGUGGAAUUCCUGGUGUAGCGGUGAAAUGCGCAGAUAUCAGGAAGAACACCGGUGGCGAAGGCGGCAUCCUGGACCAAUAUUGACGCUGAGGAGCGAAAGCUAGGGGAGCAAACGGG
RNAcentral lists this ribosomal RNA (253 nucleotides) under uncultured bacterium. Its description in RNAcentral is "partial 16S ribosomal RNA". It matches the Rfam family "Bacterial small subunit ribosomal RNA", at positions 524 to 776 of the family's 1533-position model. The record is from RNAcentral.